GACGAACGCUGGCGGCGUGCUUAACACAUGCAAGUCGAACGGAAAGGCCCUGCUUUUGUGGGGUGCUCGAGUGGCGAACGGGUGAGUAACACGUGAGUAACCUGCCCUUGACUUUGGGAUAACUUCAGGAAACUGGGGCUAAUACCGGAUAGGAGCUCCUGCUGCAUGGUGGGGGUUGGAAAGUUUCGGCGGUUGGGGAUGGACUCGCGGCUUAUCAGCUUGUUGGUGGGGUAGUGGCUUACCAAGGCUUUGACGGGUAGCCGGCCUGAGAGGGUGACCGGCCACAUUGGGACUGAGAUACGGCCCAGACUCCUACGGGAGGCAGCAGUGGGGAAUGUUGCACAAUGGGCGGAAGCCGGAUGCAGCAACGCCGCGUGCGGGAUGACGGCCUUCGGGUUGUAAACCGCUUUCGCCUGUGACGAAGCGUGAGUGACGGUAAUGGGUAAAGAAGCACCGGCUAACUACGU
RNAcentral lists this ribosomal RNA (467 nucleotides) under uncultured bacterium. RNAcentral describes it as "partial 16S ribosomal RNA". It matches the Rfam family "Bacterial small subunit ribosomal RNA", at positions 28 to 506 of the family's 1533-position model. The record is from RNAcentral.